Molecule: unclassified non-coding RNA, 341 nt
Filed under: soil metagenome
Description: partial contains 5.8S ribosomal RNA, internal transcribed spacer 2, and large subunit ribosomal RNA
Rfam family: 5.8S ribosomal RNA (bases 1-120)
Source: RNAcentral
GAUGAAGAACGUAGCGAAAUGCGAUAAGUAGUGUGAAUUGCAGAAUUCAGUGAAUCAUCGAAUCUUUGAACGCACAUUGCGCCCUUUGGUAUUCCAAAGGGCAUGCCUGUUCGAGCGUCAUAUGUACCCUCAAGCUUUGCUUGGUGUUGGGCGUCUUGUCUCUAGCUUUGCUGGAGACUCGCCUUAAAGUAAUUGGCAGCCGGCCUACUGGUUUCGGAGCGCAGCACAAGUCGCACUCUCUAUCAGCAAAGGUCUAGCAUCCAUUAAGCCUUUUUUUCAACUUUUGACCUCGGAUCAGGUAGGGAUACCCGCUGAACUUAAGCAUAUCAAUAAGCGGAGGA